This 620-nucleotide ribosomal RNA is filed under the name Shewanella sp. G05V. RNAcentral describes it as "bacterial SSU rRNA". It matches the Rfam family "Bacterial small subunit ribosomal RNA", at positions 256 to 872 of the family's 1533-position model. Lineage: Bacteria; Pseudomonadati; Pseudomonadota; Gammaproteobacteria; Alteromonadales; Shewanellaceae. The record is from RNAcentral.
GAGUAAUGCUCACCAAGCGACGAUCCCUAGCUGUUCUGAGAGGAUGAUCAGCCACACUGGGACUGAGACACGGCCCAGACUCUACGGGAGGCAGCAGUGGGGAAUAUUGCACAAUGGGCGCAAGCCUGAUGCAGCCAUGCCGCGUGUGUGAAGAAGGCUUCGGGUUGUAAAGCACUUUCAGCGAGGAGGAAAGCUUAAGCGUUAAUAGCGUUUAGGUGUGACGUUACUCGCAGAAGAAGGACCGGCUAACUUCGUGCCAGCAGCCGCGGUAAUACGAGGGGUCCAAGCGUUAAUCGGAAUUACUGGGCGUAAAGCGUACGCAGGCGGUUUGUUAAGCGAGAUGUGAAAGCCCCGGGCUCAACCUGGGAACUGCAUUUCGAACUGGCAAACUAGAGUCUUGUAGAGGGGGGUAGAAUUUCAGGUGUAGCGGUGAAAUGCGUAGAGAUCUGAAGGAAUACCGGUGGCGNAGGCGGCCCCCUGGACAAAGACUGACGCUCAUGUACGAAAGCGUGGGGAGCAAACAGGAUUAGAUACCCUGGUAGUCCACGCCGUAAACGAUGUCUACUCGGAAUUUGGUGUCUUGAACACUGGGUUCUCAAGUAACGCAUUAAGUAGACCGC